This 400-nucleotide ribosomal RNA is filed under the name uncultured bacterium. RNAcentral describes it as "bacterial SSU rRNA". It matches the Rfam family "Bacterial small subunit ribosomal RNA", at positions 355 to 772 of the family's 1533-position model. The record is from RNAcentral.
UGGGGAAUAUUGGACAAUGGGCGAAAGCCUGAUCCAGCAACGCCGCGUGAAGGAUGAAGGUCUUAGGAUUGUAAACUUCUUUUGACAGGGAAGAUAAUGACUUUACCUGUAGAAUAAGCACCGGCUAACUUCGUGCCAGCAGCCGCGGUAAUACGAAGGGUGCCAGCGUUACUCGGAAUUACUGGGCGUAAAGAAUGCGUAGGCGGACUUGUAAGUUAGGAGUGAAAUCCCUGGGCUCAACCUAGGAACUGCUUUUAAAACUGCUUGUCUUGAAUGUCGGAAUGAUUAGGGGAAUUCUUGGUGUAGGGGUAAUAUCCGUAGAUAUCAGGAGGAAGACCGGAAGCGAAAGCGCUUAAUUAGCCGAAUAUUGACGCUGAUGCAUGAAAGCGUGGGGAGCAAA